CAGUAGCCGCGGGAAUACCAGCACCUCGAGUGGUCAGGAGGUUUAUUGGGCCUAAAGCAUCCGUAGCCGGUUGCACAAGUUUUCGGUUAAAUCUAUGCGCUUAACGUAUAGGCCGCCGAAAAUACUGUGCAGCUAGGGAGUGGGAGAGGUACACGGUACUCGAUAGGAAGGGGUAAAAUCCUUUGAUCUAUUGAUGACCACCUGUGGCGAAGGCGGUGUACCAGAACACGUUCGACGGUGAGGGAUGAAAGCUGGGGGAGCAAACCGGAUUAGAUACCUCGGUAGUCCCUGUCUCUUAUAC
Molecule: ribosomal RNA, 301 nt
Filed under: uncultured bacterium
Lineage: Bacteria
Description: partial 16S ribosomal RNA
Rfam family: Archaeal small subunit ribosomal RNA
Source: RNAcentral